ACUUGGCUGGCUCAGUUGAAGAGCAUGAGACUCUUGAUUUCAGAGUUAUGGGUUUGAACCCCGUGUUGGGUG
Molecule: transfer RNA, 72 nt
Filed under: Canis lupus familiaris (dog)
Lineage: Eukaryota; Metazoa; Chordata; Mammalia; Carnivora; Canidae
Also listed under: 1 other name
Rfam family: tRNA
About the family: Transfer RNA (tRNA) molecules are approximately 80 nucleotides in length.
Source: Rfam by way of RNAcentral